CGGCCAAACAAGUCCGUUGGGAAAUCGACGCGCUCAACGCGUCGGCGUCCGGCGGAAACUGUUUGGCUUGGGGCCAGAAGAUCUGAGGGGUACGUCCGGGGUAGGAGUGAAAUCCCGUAAUCCUGGACGGACCACCGGUGGCGAAAGCGCCUCAGAAAGAUGGACCCGACGGUGAGGGACGAAAGCUAGGGUCUCGAACCGGAUUAGAUACCCGGGUAGUCCUAGCUGUAAACGAUGCUCGCUAGGUGUGCCACAGGCUACGAGCCUGUGCUGUGCCCUAGGGAAGCCGAGAAGCGAGCCGCCUGGGAA
This 309-nucleotide ribosomal RNA is filed under the name uncultured archaeon. Its description in RNAcentral is "bacterial SSU rRNA". It matches the Rfam family "Archaeal small subunit ribosomal RNA", at positions 526 to 834 of the family's 1478-position model. The record is from RNAcentral.